This 406-nucleotide ribosomal RNA is filed under the name uncultured bacterium. Its description in RNAcentral is "partial 16S ribosomal RNA". It matches the Rfam family "Bacterial small subunit ribosomal RNA", at positions 29 to 526 of the family's 1533-position model. The record is from RNAcentral.
AACGAACGCUGGCGGCAUGCCUAAUACAUGCAAGUCGAGCGAGCGGCGGACGGGUGAGUAAUGUCUGGGCAACUGCCUGCUGGAGGGGGAUAACUACUGGCAACGGUAGAUAAUACCGAAUAACAUCAGAUGUGCCCUGAUGGGAUUAGCUAGUGGGUGGGGUAAUGGCUCACCAAGGCGACUAUCCCUAGCUGGUCGGAGAGGGUGACCGGCCACACUGGGACUGAGACACGGUCCGGACUCCUACGGAAGGCAGCAGUAGGGAAUAUGGGGAAAUGGGCGAAAGCCUGAUACAGCCAUGCCACGUGUGUGAAGAAGGUCUUCGGGUUGUAAAGCCCUUUCAUCAGGGAGGCGUUACUCACCCAGAAAGCACCGGCUAACUCCGUGCCAGCAGCCGCGGUAAUAC